RNAcentral lists this long non-coding RNA (557 nucleotides) under Homo sapiens (human). RNAcentral's name for it is "non-protein coding lnc-FRAT1-1:3". Lineage: Eukaryota; Metazoa; Chordata; Mammalia; Primates; Hominidae. The record is from RNAcentral.
GCGCGAGCAGGCACGGGGGCAAAGGGCGGCGCGGGCGGUGACCGAAGCCGUCCCGCGCCUGUGUUCGUUGUCCCUCCAGGAGGGGGUCCGGGGCGUGGGGACUGAUUUCCGACCUCCCGGGCCCAACGAGCCGUGCUGAAACGUGGCGCCUCGGAGGAGGCUGAGAUUCCUGCAGGUAGACACCAAGGAUCUCCUCAGAGCCAGCGCUGAUCUCAUCCACAGAGGGAUCACAUGACCUCAUCUGGGAAAAUAUAAACCCUACCCACCUGCCUGCCCAUUUGGAAAUGCAGACUGGAGGACGCUAAGUUCAUUCUUACCUAUGUACUAACAAGUACACAAGAAGAUGCUCAAUAUCAUUAGUCCUUGGGGAAAUGCAAAUUAGAUUAUAAUGAGAUUCCAGUGUACACCCACUAGAAGGCUAUUAAAAAGGACAAUACCAACUGUUGGCAACAAUGUGGAGAAAUGGAACCCCUCCUACGUUUCUGAUGAGAAUGUAAAAUGGUGCAGAUACUUUGGAAAACAGUUUGGCAAUUUAUUAAAAGAUUAAAUAAGCAUAA